RNAcentral lists this long non-coding RNA (2409 nucleotides) under Dermacentor andersoni. Its description in RNAcentral is "uncharacterized LOC126544230". The record is from RNAcentral. Lineage: Eukaryota; Metazoa; Arthropoda; Arachnida; Ixodida; Ixodidae.
AAGCGGGCUACACAGCCUGUGUGAAUCACCUACUUUUUGUUGCGACGCUCUUCCAUGUGGUAGACUGAUGCAUGGUCCGCGUUUAUUUCUGUAUUGUUGUAAAAACCAUUUGUUUAUUCACCCAAUACAAAUGUACUGCUUCUUCGCUGCAGUACAUUUUAGUUACGCGCUGAAGGAUACUAAAAGUGGGAGGGGACCGCCAUCGCCCAGCAUAGUAUGUCCACUGAGGCGACCUGAGAGGCGGCGGUUGCGCGAGUGUAUAAUUAAAGAGCUCUUUUUUUGUCCAGUGACACUGGCCCCUUUCCACUUUUAGUAUGCUUCACCGCAGUACAUUGCUUAAGAUUCACCGCAGAACAUAGGUGUAUUGCGAAAAUGGUAAUCUUAAAAAGCUCAAUUAUGCAACGUUUCUUUUGUAGCUUGCUACACCGCAAUACAGGGGUGGAAAUAAGCAUCGUGCAGUAAAGCAUACUAAGAGCGGAAAGGGCACAUAGGUUUACUCAUUACUUUCAAUUGUGAUAUAAUUUGCAAGUGCAUCUGUGCUCUGGGUAAGCUGUAUUGACAAUUCUUUGUACAUUACAAAUUCAUAUUGCCGGGAAGCUUACUAAGGCACAUUCGCCAUUUUGUAAUGCAUUAUUCACCUUCAAUGCAGGAGCACAAUGCGGAUUCAUGCCUAUGCUUCUGGCUGGACUGUACGUGUUCUUUGAGAAUUGAUUUGUUGUUCAUAAGUGCAGUGGUACUUACUCUAAACUGGAGGGCUGAAGUUGAUACGGAAGCACAAUUUUUACGAAGGGGACAAGAUGUUGCCAAGAUGGUUGCAGCAAAGCUUUUUUUUUUUCCAGGCACCUUUUCUACUAGAAGCUUCCAUUGCAGUGUUCUGAGCCUUUUUGAGCCAGCACAUAGUGUAUAUAAAAAUCGGACACCGAUUGGGAACGUCACCUAUGCUCUCUGCAGUAAGCUGUGCACAGGAUAAGUUCAUGCCUAUCUACAGAAAAAAAUGUAGCAUGACCAGACAAAAUAAAAGGGGGUAGGCUGCAGCAAUACUAAGUGUAAAAUGGUGCCUUAUCUUUUCCCUUGAGUUUUCUGUUUUGUGCUUUUUAUUAUGGAUCCUCCACAGUAACCAUUAGAGUGCCGAACUUGAGCUUGUUGGUUUCAGAUCUCAUGGUUGUUACUAACAGAACAGUGUGAUAAACGAACAAGGGCUUGGAGGCAUCCAGUCACCUUGCUUAUCUCAUGGUGUUGCUUCAUGAGCACUGUGAGCCUUCAGACCAACUAGGAAGGGAGUGCUAUUCCUGUCCAGCUUGCUGAAAGCUAUCCCGAGUGUUUCAAAAGCAGGACUGCUGCCGGACAAGAAGUGCAUAAAGCAAGGGUAGCUAUAACCAUAUAUGUCACACAAAAUGAAGAAGGCCACUGAGUGUACAGGCAGUUUAAUUCUUAUCCAACAAGCUUGGUUCUCCCUUUGCAAGUGAGUAAACCCAACUUGCCCCAAAGACAUGGCCUGUGACAAACUAUGUGCCAGAUGCUGUGUCCCCUGCAAAGCUGAAGAUGUGUACAAGAUCCUGACACCCGCGGUAGCUUCUACACUGGGUAAACAGGCUACUAUAAGAACGACUACCUCUACUAAUAUGCUAAUGAGAUGAAAAUGGGCAGAAAUUCGGCUAUUCAUUGGGCCCAACUGUAGGUGCAAGCCACUCUUCUACCAGAUGUGUGUUGUUCACAGGAAUUGGAGCUAUACAAAUGCAGAUAAAAACAAUGAUGUUUGAAAGUAGUAGAGUUGAACUAUAUUCUGCACAAACAGUGCUACUUGCAGCGCUGGUACCUUAUAGCUACAAUUCAUGGCUGCCCCACCAUGCAAAGGCACUAUUCUUGAAUUAUCAACUUCUAUUUAUAUUUAUGGUGGCCAUAUAUUGCAAGUACAUAUCCACAUUGUGUGCAAUAUGGUUAAGUGAUGUCAACUAUGAUAGCCAUUCCUAAUCUGAGAUGCAACAAAAGAACUAAUAUAGGCAACAAAUUGUAAUUCGAAAAGACAACCCGUGCACAGGAUAAGUGACAGACUUCCUUUUAUUGAACAAAAGUCACAUGUGUCACAUGUCACCAGCAGUGGGUAGCAAACUUGCAAGCUUGGGUGACAGAGGCGAAACUUAGCAAAAUGCUACGCUCAUACUCAAAUGUAAAACGGCCUAUGACACAAAAAACGACAUUAUAUUGUACUGAAUGAAAGGGCAAGACUCCAUCCAAGAACACAUUAUGGCAUCACAUAAUUGGCAUGAUGUAAAAGAUGUUAACACGCCCUCCCCGUAAAAAAAGAAACACUGAAAACAUGCCUUAAAAGGCAAUAAUCAGAGUCUGAAAGCAAGAAAAAACAACCCAAAAAAGGUUUCGCUAAGUCUUUCAAUGAUUAAAAUUGUCAAA